GUCUACGGCCACGCCACCCUGAACGUGCGCGAUCUCGUCUGAUGUCGGAAGCUCAGCAGGGUCGGGCCUGGUUAGUCCUUGGAUGGGAGACCACCUAGGAAGACCAGGUGCCGUAGGCG
RNAcentral lists this ribosomal RNA (119 nucleotides) under Pteropus alecto (black flying fox). The record is from RNAcentral. Lineage: Eukaryota; Metazoa; Chordata; Mammalia; Chiroptera; Pteropodidae.